UACGUAGGGUGCAAGCGUUGUCCGGAAUUAUUGGGCGUAAAGAGCUUGUAGGCGGUUUGUCGCGUCUGCUGUGAAAUUUCGGGGCUCAACCCCGAACUUGCAGUGGGUACGGGCAGACUAGAGUGUGGUAGGGGAGACUGGAAUUCCUGGUGUAGCGGUGGAAUGCGCAGAUAUCAGGAGGAACACCGGUGGCGAAGGCGGUUCUCUGGGCAUUACCUGACGCUGAGGAGCGAAAGCAUGGGGAGCGAACAGG
RNAcentral lists this ribosomal RNA (253 nucleotides) under uncultured bacterium. RNAcentral's name for it is "partial 16S ribosomal RNA". It matches the Rfam family "Bacterial small subunit ribosomal RNA", at positions 524 to 776 of the family's 1533-position model. The record is from RNAcentral.